RNAcentral lists this non-coding RNA (112 nucleotides) under Chlamydomonas leiostraca. The record is from RNAcentral. Lineage: Eukaryota; Viridiplantae; Chlorophyta; Chlorophyceae; Chlamydomonadales; Chlamydomonadaceae.
GUCAGUGCUCAACGCUGCUCAGCUGGAGGGCAUGCGGCUCAGGGGCUCAGGGGCUGGGCUCCGCCUGAGGGCUGUGAGGCAGCAGCACCAAAGCAGCCCCUGGUAGCAGUGG